GAUUUCUGGUUCGGCGCACUUGGCCCGUCUCGGUUUACGGGAUUGCGUGCCGGUGUGCGCCAUCCAUCCUUCGGGAAAUACACAGCUACCCUUCACUGGGCCGGUUGUGCUAUCCCGAUCUUUUACUUUGAAAAAAUUAGAGUGUUUAAAGCAGGUGUUGCGCCUUGAAUACAUUAGCAUGGAAUAAUAAUUUAGGACUUCUGCCUAUUUUAUUGGUUUCUAGGUUUGGAGUAAUGAUUGAUAGGGAUAGUUGGGGGUGCUAGUAUUCAUCGGCCAGAGGUGAAAUUCUUGGAUUCGAUGAAGACUAACUAAUGCGAAAGCAUU
RNAcentral lists this ribosomal RNA (324 nucleotides) under Cercomonas sp. RNAcentral's name for it is "SSU rRNA". The stretch from base 109 to 324 matches the Rfam family "Eukaryotic small subunit ribosomal RNA", at positions 738 to 955 of the family's 1831-position model. The record is from RNAcentral. Lineage: Eukaryota; Cercozoa; Cercomonadida; Cercomonadidae.